This is a long non-coding RNA of Passer montanus (Eurasian tree sparrow), 947 nucleotides long. RefSeq lists it as uncharacterized. The record is from RefSeq and is a predicted model, not a curated record. The transcript is spliced from 3 exons. NCBI's taxonomy places the organism in Eukaryota, Metazoa, Chordata, Aves, Passeriformes, Passeridae.
GGAGGGGCUGCCCAGCCCUGGCCCAGCUGCCCAGGGCAGGGUGGAGUCCCCAUCCCUGAGGGGUUUAACAGCCCUGGGCAUGUGGCACUUGGGGACAGGGGACAGUGCUGGCUUUGAUUUUGGGUGGAAUGGUUGGAUCCCAUCUCAGAUGACUUUUCCAACCUCACCAAUUCCAUGUGGGGGCCAUGGUGAGCCCUGCCCCAGCGCUGGUGUCGGCUGGGGAAGCUCGGCUCGGCUCGGCUCAGCUCCCUGUGCCUUUGGGUUCCCUGCCCUCGGGGUGGGUGGAGCACGAAUUCCGGUGUCCGGCACCGCUCUGCACCUUCUCCCCGCGCUGCUGCUGCCCUCCAGUGCCACCAGCGCCACCAACCAGUGCCACCAGCGCCACCAGUGCCAGCAUCUCCUCGUCCCCCGCUGGCCCGGGGCUGAUUUUGGGGGCAGGGCCGGGGGUGCCCCUGCUCCCCGCAGCCCGGGGCUGUCCCCUGUCGCUGUCCCCUCGCUGUCCCCGUCGCUGUCCCCGUCGCUGUCCCGUCGCUGUCCCCUCGCUGUCCCCUCGCUGUCCCCCGUCGCUGUCCCGUCGCUGUCCCCUCGCUGUCCCGUCGCUGUCCCGUCGCUGUGCCCUGCCGCCGUGCCGGGGCCGUGCGCGCUCCGCCCGCCCCGCGCUGCGUGUCCCGCCCCGCACACGGCGGCACCGCCCCGGUGGCGGCGCUGGGGCCGCGCCGGGGCCCCGCAGCCCCGGGCCAUGAAGGUGAAGGUGAUCUCCGUGCUGGAGGACAACUACAUGUACCUGGUGAUCGAGGAGAGCACCCGGCUCGCCGUGGCCGUGGACGCCGCGGUCCCCAAGAGGCUGCUGGAGAUCAUCAGGAAGGAGGACGUGGUGCUCAAGGCCAUCCUCACCACCCACCACCACUGUCCCGUUCCCGUUCCCAUCCCGGUCCCGUUCCCAUCCC